This 135-nucleotide small nucleolar RNA is filed under the name Leptobrachium leishanense (Leishan spiny toad). RNAcentral describes it as "Small nucleolar RNA SNORA17 (ENSLLEG00000010798.1)". It matches the Rfam family "Small nucleolar RNA SNORA17". From Rfam's summary of the family: snoRNA ACA 17 belongs to the H/ACA family of snoRNAs and is predicted to guide pseudouridylation of the 28S rRNA at positions U4659 and U4598. It shares the same host gene together with ACA43. The record is from Rfam by way of RNAcentral. Lineage: Eukaryota; Metazoa; Chordata; Amphibia; Anura; Megophryidae.
UUUGCCCCUCAAGGCGUUGCAGUCCUGGCUGGCGCGUGCCCGGGCUGUGUCACGUGGGGCAGAGAGCAGCCAUGGCUGUGUCUACGCUCGGUGCCCGACAUCCGGGGCAUCCAGAAUGAUUGGCAGCCGCACAGC